UUUAUUGGAGAGUUUGAUCCUGGCUCAGGAUGAACGCUGGCGGCGUGCCUAAUACAUGCAAGUCGAGCGAAUGGAUUAAGAGCUUGCUCUUAUGAAGUUAGCGGCGGACGGGUGAGUAACACGUGGGUAACCUGCCCAUAAGACUGGGAUAACUCCGGGAAACCGGGGCUAAUACCGGAUAACAUUUUGAACUGCAUGGUUCGAAAUUGAAAGGCGGCUUCGGCUGUCACUUAUGGAUGGACCCGCGUCGCAUUAGCUAGUUGGUGAGGUAACGGCUCACCAAGGCAACGAU
This 292-nucleotide ribosomal RNA is filed under the name Bacillus thuringiensis. RNAcentral describes it as "partial 16S ribosomal RNA". It matches the Rfam family "Bacterial small subunit ribosomal RNA", at positions 1 to 280 of the family's 1533-position model. Lineage: Bacteria; Bacillati; Bacillota; Bacilli; Caryophanales; Bacillaceae. The record is from RNAcentral.